UUUGUAUGAGGAGCACUGGUGUAGACCAUUACAGAGGAAACCAUGCCUGCUUGAUGACAUUGCAGGUGGAAGAGAGAUGAGCAGCACAGAGGAGACGAUAUCGUGUAUUAGUCACUAGUUACUGUACGGAGGCUGCAGAAGUCUAUCACUAAAUAAAUAUGGAAAAUGCUGGAGUCACGUUUUCCUGUGUCCUUGAGAUCUAUCUUCAUUUGCUGACACCGGUUCUUGGCUUUGGGUACAAAUAUAACAGGCAGCAAAAUCCUUUCAAAGCCGGAGGAAGAAAUCACAGACUAGACUU
Long non-coding RNA from Pelobates fuscus (common spadefoot toad), 298 nucleotides. RefSeq lists it as uncharacterized. NCBI's taxonomy places the organism in Eukaryota, Metazoa, Chordata, Amphibia, Anura, Pelobatidae. The record is from RefSeq and is a predicted model, not a curated record. The transcript is spliced from 3 exons.